This 443-nucleotide ribosomal RNA is filed under the name uncultured bacterium. Its description in RNAcentral is "partial 16S ribosomal RNA". It matches the Rfam family "Bacterial small subunit ribosomal RNA", at positions 338 to 795 of the family's 1533-position model. The record is from RNAcentral.
CCUACGGGUGGCAGCAGUGGGGAAUAUUGGGCAAUGGAGGCAACUCUGACCCAGCAACGCCGCGUGAAUGAUGAAGGUCUUCGGAUUGUAAAGUUCUUUUCUAAGGGAAGAAGAAAGUGACGGUACCUUAGGAAUAAGCCCCGGCUAACUACGUGCCAGCAGCCGCGGUAAUACGUAGGGGGCGAGCGUUAUCCGGAAUGACUGGGCGUAAAGGGAGUGUAGGCGGCAUAUUAAGUUAUGUGUGAAAGCCCGCGGCUCAACCGCGGAAUUGCACAUAAAACUGGUAAGCUGGAGUGCAGGAGAGGUAAGUGGAAUUCCCGGUGUAGCGGUGGAAUGCGUAGAUAUCGGGAGGAACACCAGAGGCGAAGGCGACUUACUGGACUGUAACUGACGCUGAGGCUCGAAAGCGUGGGGAGCAAACAGGAUUAGAUACCCCUGUAGUC